GGGCCCAUAGCUCAGUUGGCAGAGCACCGUGCUGAUAACGCGGGGGUGAGUGGUUCGAUCCCACUUGGGCCCA
RNAcentral lists this transfer RNA (73 nucleotides) under Candidatus Omnitrophota bacterium. RNAcentral describes it as "tRNA-Ile". It matches the Rfam family "tRNA". Rfam says of the family: Transfer RNA (tRNA) molecules are approximately 80 nucleotides in length. Their secondary structure includes four short double-helical elements and three loops (D, anti-codon, and T loops). Further hydrogen bonds mediate the characteristic L-shaped molecular structure. tRNAs have two regions of fundamental functional importance: the anti-codon, which is responsible for specific mRNA codon recognition, and the 3' end, to which the tRNAs corresponding amino acid is attached (by aminoacyl-tRNA synthetases). tRNAs cope with the degeneracy of the genetic code in two manners: having more than one tRNA (with a specific anti-codon) for a particular amino acid; and 'wobble' base-pairing, i.e. permitting non-standard base-pairing at the 3rd anti-codon position. The record is from RNAcentral. Lineage: Bacteria; Pseudomonadati; Candidatus Omnitrophota.